AUCACUUCUCAGCCUUUUGGCUAAAAGAUCAAGUGUAGUAUCCGUUCUUAUUAGUUUAAAAGCCAGGAAAGCUGGGUUUAUGUUUUCCUGCAUCUAGAAUACUCUGGCUAAAGCAAGCUUUA
Molecule: small nuclear RNA, 122 nt
Filed under: Erinaceus europaeus (western European hedgehog)
Lineage: Eukaryota; Metazoa; Chordata; Mammalia; Eulipotyphla; Erinaceidae
Description: U2 spliceosomal RNA (ENSEEUG00000020800.1)
Rfam family: U2 spliceosomal RNA (bases 1-105)
About the family: U2 is a small nuclear RNA (snRNA) component of the spliceosome (involved in pre-mRNA splicing). Complementary binding between U2 snRNA (in an area lying towards the 5' end but 3' to hairpin I) and the branchpoint sequence (BPS) of the intron results the bulging out of an unpaired adenosine, on the BPS, which initiates a nucleophilic attack at the intronic 5' splice site, thus starting the first of two transesterification reactions that mediate splicing.
Source: RNAcentral